UACGUAGGGUGCGAGCGUUAAUCGGAAUUACUGGGCGUAAAGCGUGCGCAGGCGGCCCUGUAAGUCCGUUGUGAAAGUCAAAGGCUCAACCUUUGAAAGCCGAUGGAUACUGCAGGGCUAGAGUCCGGAAGAGGCGAGUGGAAUUCCUGGUGUAGCGGUGGAAUGCGCAGAUAUCAGGAGGAACACCAAUAGCGAAGGCAGCUCGCUGGGACGGUACUGACGCUAAGGCGCGAAAGCGUGGGGAGCGAACAGG
RNAcentral lists this ribosomal RNA (253 nucleotides) under uncultured bacterium. Its description in RNAcentral is "partial 16S ribosomal RNA". It matches the Rfam family "Bacterial small subunit ribosomal RNA", at positions 524 to 776 of the family's 1533-position model. The record is from RNAcentral.